GCAGAACCCUCACAUUGUCACCAGCUUUUGAAGACAUCAUCGGCACGGCCACCGACCUCGAUUUUCUCAUCAUCUUCCUUCUCAUCGCAGCAUCUGCGUCUUCUUCCUCCUCUUGGAUUUCGCCCUCGGCUUUCUUCUCCGCCGUCGUCUCGUGUUCUCCAUUAUUAACCUCGCUUGUCUUACUCCUGUGAGACGACCGGAAUACCGACGAC
RNAcentral lists this long non-coding RNA (212 nucleotides) under Malus domestica (apple). RNAcentral's name for it is "long non-coding RNA (MDOM_LNC015882)". Lineage: Eukaryota; Viridiplantae; Streptophyta; Magnoliopsida; Rosales; Rosaceae. The record is from RNAcentral.